This 325-nucleotide unclassified non-coding RNA is filed under the name uncultured Gammaproteobacteria bacterium. Its description in RNAcentral is "partial 16S-23S ribosomal RNA intergenic spacer". The stretch from base 200 to 325 matches the Rfam family "Bacterial large subunit ribosomal RNA", at positions 1 to 124 of the family's 2925-position model. Lineage: Bacteria; Pseudomonadati; Pseudomonadota; Gammaproteobacteria. The record is from RNAcentral.
CCUCCUUAACGAAAGAUGUGUUUUCAACGCCCACACGAGUAAUCAAAUAUUUAAGUUCUUAGAUAUGUAAAAUAAAUGGUAUGUAAUUUUCUAGUGUAUACAUUUUUGUAUACAUGAGAUCACUGCAAAUUAAAAAGUAAUUAAUAUAUUUUAUUAAGUACUCUCAAAAUGUUAAUAAAUAACCUUUUUAAGGUUAUAUGAUCAAGUAAAGGAAGAGCACAAGGCGGAUGCCUUGGCAGCAUAAGGCGAUGAAGGACGUAGUAACCUGCGAUAAGCCUCGGGAAGUUGGUAAACAAAUUUUGAUCCGAGGAUUUCCGAAUGGGGA